Molecule: ribosomal RNA, 1265 nt
Filed under: metagenome
Description: bacterial SSU rRNA
Rfam family: Bacterial small subunit ribosomal RNA
Source: RNAcentral
GGGGGCGAGCGAAAGCGGCUCCCGCUGAAGGAUGGGCCUGCGGCUGAUUAGCUAGUUGGUGGGGUAACGGCCUACCAAGGCGACGAUCAGUAGCCGACCUGAGAGGGUGACCGGCCACACUGGGACCGAGACACGGCCCAGACUCCUACGGGGCAGCAGUGGGGAAUAUUGCGCAAUGGGCGAAAGCCUGACGCAGCGACGCCGCGUGGGUGAUUAAGGCCUUCGGGUCGUAAAGCCCUGUCGGGUGGAACGAAUCCCCGUCUCGCUAAUACCGAGGCGGAUUGACGGUACCACCGAAGGAAGCCCCGGCUAACUACGUGCCAGCAGCCGCGGUAAUACGUAGGGGGCGAGCGUUGUUCGGAUUUACUGGGCGUAAAGAGCGCGUAGGCGGUUUGGCAAGUCGGAGGUGAAAGCCCUUGGCUCAACCAAGGAGCCGCGUCCGAUACUACCAGACUUGAGUGCAGGAGAGGAGAGCGGAACUCCCAGUGUAGCGGUGAAAUGCGUAGAUAUUGGGAAGAACACCGGUGGCGAAGGCGGCUCUCUGGACUGUUACUGACGCUGAGGCGCGAAAGCUAGGGGAGCAAACGGGAUUAGAUACCCCGGUAGUCCUAGCCGUAAACGAUGGGCACUAGGUGUGGGAGGUAUUGACCCCUUCCGUGCCGCAGCUAACGCAUUAAGUGCCCCGCCUGGGGAGUACGGCCGCAAGGUUGAAACUCAAAGGAAUUGACGGGGGCCCGCACAAGCGGUGGAGCAUGUGGUUUAAUUCGACGCAACGCGAAGAACCUUACCAGGGCUUGACAUCCCGCGAACCCCUCCGAAAGGAGGGGGUGCCCGCAAGGGAGCGCGGAGACAGGUGGUGCAUGGCUGUCGUCAGCUCGUGUCGUGAGAUGUUGGGUUAAGUCCCGCAACGAGCGCAACCCUCACCCCUUGUUGCCACCAGGUGAUGCUGGGCACUCUAGGGGAACUGCCCCGGUCAACGGGGAGGAAGGCGGGGAUGACGUCAAGUCAUCAUGCCCCUUACGCCCUGGGCUACACACGUGCUACAAUGGCCGGUACAAAGGGAUGCAAUACCGCGAGGUGGAGCUAAACCCAAAAAGCCGGUCUAAGUUCAGAUUGGAGUCUGCAACUCGACUCCAUGAAGGAGGAAUCGCUAGUAAUCGCGUAUCAGCACGACGCGGUGAAUACGUUCCCGGGCCUUGUACACACCGCCCGUCACACCACGAAAGCCAGUUGUACUCGAAGUCGCCGAGCUAACCCGCAAGGGA